UGUUAACGGGAACCGAGCUGGUUUUUCCUUGGGUAAUGAGUCCAAAAAUAGCGUUCAUUACUGGGGGUAAAUCAGCUCUGAUCUCAUGUGGAAAA
RNAcentral lists this microRNA precursor (95 nucleotides) under Caenorhabditis brenneri. Its description in RNAcentral is "pre miRNA CBN34143". The stretch from base 16 to 79 matches the Rfam family "mir-35_2 microRNA precursor family". Lineage: Eukaryota; Metazoa; Nematoda; Chromadorea; Rhabditida; Rhabditidae. The record is from RNAcentral.